RNAcentral lists this ribosomal RNA (627 nucleotides) under Triticum aestivum (bread wheat). Its description in RNAcentral is "partial small subunit ribosomal RNA". Lineage: Eukaryota; Viridiplantae; Streptophyta; Magnoliopsida; Poales; Poaceae. The record is from RNAcentral.
AUGUAUGGAGAUCUCUCCCCUCGUGCUACAUCUUGUCGGUUGCCGUUGCCUGUCGUGCCAAUUGCUUCUUGGGGUGAAGCUGUUGUCGAGGUCGUGGCUCCGGUGCUGCAGAUUAUGCCUGAGCUGCAGAAGAUUUGUGGGGAGCCUACUUUGCCUAAUUCGAUGGUGCUUCCUAAGGAGAUGGGGUCGCUUGUAGGGUGCUUAGUGUUGCCAACUGCGACCUCACCAUCGUCGAUGGAGCCCAUUCAGCUGCUCGACUUUAUGGACAGUGGAGGUUUGGAUGCUGCUAUUGCUCUCUCACCUGAGGUUGUUGGCCAGGUGGGGUCUGUGGGUGCCAAGGAUGAUGGGGUAGGUCCUUUGGCACCUAAACCUGAGGCGCUGAAAACCAUCCGGCAGCCCAUCUUUGACCGUGAUGCUAUGUUGGCACGUAUUGACGAGGUGGUCUUUGUGAAAAAGCUUGACCGCUUGCUCGCCUCCUUGGAUGCAGCUUGUCCUAGGUCUGGCAAGGCGGUUGCUUGCCUCCUAGUGGAAGAGGGUUCUACGGGCAAAGUAAAGAAGGUGAAGAAGGCUCUCAGGGCCAUAGGCAAGAAGAGUGGCGCCAUUGGUAAAGCGUCAUCGGCUGUUUGA